This is a non-coding RNA of Populus trichocarpa (black cottonwood), 62 nucleotides long. NCBI's taxonomy places the organism in Eukaryota, Viridiplantae, Streptophyta, Magnoliopsida, Malpighiales, Salicaceae. The record is from Rfam.
ACCAAUUCUGGGGGAUUAUCAGUUCCUCUUGGCAUAAUGACUCGGGUGCUAGAACCAUAUUU